UGGGGAAUAUUGGACAAUGGGGGGAACCCUGAUCCAGCCAUGCCGCGUGUGUGAAGAAGGCCUUAUGGUUGUAAAGCACUUUAAGCGAGGAGGAGGGUACUGGUAUUAAUACUACCAGGUACUGGACGUUACUCGCAGAAUAAGCACCGGCUAACUCUGUGCCAGCAGCCGCGGUAAUACAGAGGGUGCGAGCGUUAAUCGGAUUUACUGGGCGUAAAGCGUGCGUAGGCGGCUAAUUGAGUCGGAUGUGAAAUCCCCGAGCUUAACUUGGGAAUUGCAUUCGAUACUGGUUAGCUAGAGUGUGGGAGAGGAUGGUAGAAUUCCAGGUGUAGCGGUGAAAUGCGUAGAGAUCUGGAGGAAUACGGAUGGCGAAGGCAGCCAUCUGGCCUAACACUGACGCUGAGGUACGAAAGCAUGGGGAGCAAACAGG
This 430-nucleotide ribosomal RNA is filed under the name Pseudomonadota bacterium. Its description in RNAcentral is "Proteobacteria bacterium partial 16S ribosomal RNA". It matches the Rfam family "Bacterial small subunit ribosomal RNA", at positions 355 to 776 of the family's 1533-position model. Lineage: Bacteria; Pseudomonadati; Pseudomonadota. The record is from RNAcentral.